GAUGAAGAACGUAGCGAAAUGCGAUAAGUAAUGUGAAUUGCAGAAUUCAGUGAAUCAUCGAAUCUUUGAACGCACAUUGCGCCCGCUAGUAUUCUGGCGGGCAUGCCUGUCCGAGCGUCAUUUCAACCCUCAAGCCCCCGGGCUUGGUGUUGGGGAUCGGCGAGCCUCCGCGCCCGCCGUCCCCUAAAUCUAGUGGCGGUCUCGCUGCAGCCUCCAUUGCGUAGUAGCUAACACCUCGCAACUGGAACGCGGCGCGGCCAAGCCGUUAAACCCCCAACUUCUGAAUGUUGACCUCGGAUCAGGUAGGAAUACCCGCUGAACUUAAGCAUAUCAAUAAGCGGAGGA
Molecule: unclassified non-coding RNA, 345 nt
Filed under: soil metagenome
Description: partial contains 5.8S ribosomal RNA, internal transcribed spacer 2, and large subunit ribosomal RNA
Rfam family: 5.8S ribosomal RNA (bases 1-120)
Source: RNAcentral